Molecule: long non-coding RNA, 369 nt
Organism: Pomacea canaliculata
Lineage: Eukaryota; Metazoa; Mollusca; Gastropoda; Architaenioglossa; Ampullariidae
Exons: 3
Source: RefSeq, a predicted model, not a curated record
CAGAAGUUGGUUUCGGGAAAACAACUUUAAAUAUCCCACUAAUUACUACAUAAUUAAUGACUGCUCUCCUGAAAAUGUUCUGUGGUGAAGCCACGGUCUGCCAACACUUGUAGGAGCAUCGCAUCGGUCCUAACAUCGCCCUCAGUCAACACAAGCACAUCGUCUUGGUAAAGGUGUAAGGCCGACAAUCCGUCUACUGGAGGAGAAUGGAGACUGUUGACAACUGAUGACCCAGCAGAUAAAGGAACAAUAUCUACCAGUAAAUAAGGACUGGAGGUAGUUGACCACUUCAUUGGAGCAGAUCGCACAAUCACUGGGAUCUUCACCAGAAUGGCCAUCCCCGGUGUGGUGCACGUGCUUAAUCAUCGG